This is a long non-coding RNA of Sander lucioperca (pikeperch), 72 nucleotides long. RefSeq lists it as uncharacterized. The transcript is spliced from 3 exons. The record is from RefSeq and is a predicted model, not a curated record. NCBI's taxonomy places the organism in Eukaryota, Metazoa, Chordata, Actinopteri, Perciformes, Percidae.
CACAGAAAUACGUGAAAUAACCACAACCUCUUAACACCGCAUUACAUGGUGGUGCAACAUUAAUGGGGCAUU